RNAcentral lists this ribosomal RNA (253 nucleotides) under uncultured bacterium. RNAcentral's name for it is "partial 16S ribosomal RNA". It matches the Rfam family "Bacterial small subunit ribosomal RNA", at positions 524 to 776 of the family's 1533-position model. The record is from RNAcentral.
UACGAAGGGGGCUAGCGUUGCUCGGAAUUACUGGGCGUAAAGGGAGCGUAGGCGGAUAGUUUAGUCAGAGGUGAAAGCCCAGGGCUCAACCUUGGAACUGCCUUUGAUACUGGCUAUCUUGAGUGUGGGAGAGGUGAGUGGAACUCCGAGUGUAGAGGUGAAAUUCGUAGAUAUUCGGAAGAACACCAGUGGCGAAGGCGACUCACUGGCCCAUUACUGACGCUGAGGCUCGAAAGCGUGGGGAGCAAACAGG